GUCCCUGGGUGGAAAAUGAUUAACAUGUUUAGCUGCUAACUAAAAGUUUGGUGGUUCGAGUCUACUCAGAGGCA
This 74-nucleotide transfer RNA is filed under the name Loxodonta africana (African savanna elephant). It matches the Rfam family "tRNA". From Rfam's summary of the family: Transfer RNA (tRNA) molecules are approximately 80 nucleotides in length. Their secondary structure includes four short double-helical elements and three loops (D, anti-codon, and T loops). The record is from Rfam by way of RNAcentral. Lineage: Eukaryota; Metazoa; Chordata; Mammalia; Proboscidea; Elephantidae.